GGGGGUCACCCGGCAUGAGGACGCGUUCCGCGAUGUCGCCGGGUUCCGCGCCGAUGUGAAUACUCAUGCGGGCGAUACUGCCAGGUCCGAGAGUUGCCGGCGCCGCCGCGCCGGGUGGUCUGGGGGUCGGGUACCCUACUCGGCGGUGGUGUGUCCGAGUGGCCUAAGGAGCACGCCUCGAAAGCGUGUGAGGGUUUACGCCCUCCGCGGGUUCAAAUCCCGCCGCCACCGCCAGUAGCAGGGCAAACGCCCGGCAGCGUGAGUCACGCGGCCGGGCGUCGCUCGUUGUGGUCUCAGUUUCGGUCUCAGUUGCCUAUCAGGAUGCCUCUCUGAGCGUCCCUGCGGACCCGUCGUUCGGCCCGUCGGGCUCCCA
RNAcentral lists this transfer-messenger RNA (373 nucleotides) under Asanoa iriomotensis. The stretch from base 145 to 231 matches the Rfam family "tRNA". Lineage: Bacteria; Bacillati; Actinomycetota; Actinomycetes; Micromonosporales; Micromonosporaceae. The record is from RNAcentral.